This 273-nucleotide ribosomal RNA is filed under the name uncultured prokaryote. Its description in RNAcentral is "partial 16S ribosomal RNA". It matches the Rfam family "Bacterial small subunit ribosomal RNA", at positions 524 to 796 of the family's 1533-position model. The record is from RNAcentral.
UACGAAGGGGGCUAGCGUUGUUCGGAAUUACUGGGCGUAAAGCGCGCGCAGGCGGUCUUCCAAGUCAGUGGUGAAAGCCCGGAGCUCAACUCCGGAACUGCCAUUGAAACUGUUAGACUUGAGUAUGAGAGAGGUGAGUGGAAUUCCCAGUGUAGAGGUGAAAUUCGUAGAUAUUGGGAAGAACACCGGUGGCGAAGGCGGCUCACUGGCUCAUUACUGACGCUCAGGCGCGACAGCGUGGGGAUCAAACAGGAUUAGAAACCCUAGUAGUCC